AAAAACUUUUGAGCUUGUGCUGUCGGCUGAUUGCACCUGCUGAACUGUUAAUCUUCGUUUGAGGAUGCCUCUCCACCAUUGAUCAGAAAUAACUUGUCUCGCCGAAGUUUAAGAACAGAGGAAGCUUUAGUCAAUUAGGAAAAGGACCAUUUGCUGAACCGUCAUAAACGCCAGUUCUUCUUGAUCAACUCCAUGGAUAUUACUGCAAAAUCCUUCGAACCCGCUCAACCCAAGUCAGAGAUGCUUUUUUCAAGCCAAAUGGCUAUACUAUCAAAAAAAGUCUGAUUCAACUAUGGAGUGUUAAGGUGAUCGAUGAUCUAAGGUAUCCGAUCAAUCACUGCCGGGAUCGAAAUCAAUCUGGGUGGAAAGCGAGGGUCUAAGAGUCUGAUUAGAACAAUCAGAACUUUUUUAUUCACGUUCAACCAUAUCAGAGAAGAUGAGAAUGACAAGCACUCCGAUAUUGGAUGAAACAACACAUCAAAAUCGCCUAUGCGAAACAGCCUAUGCGAAAACAGAUAAUCGCCUUAACGAAACAAAACAACUCGAUCCGUAGAUCGAAGAGAAAUAUGUAACAUAAAAAAAAACAAAAGAUAAAACUCUUCCCCCUCUGAAAAAUUUGAAAAAAUGUUGUUCAUAUGUCUUGAUCAACAUUAUUAAUAUAUAAUGGUUUAUGUUUAAUAUAUAAUUUAAUGUGUUAUAAGUUGCUAAUACAUAUCAUAUAUUCUAACAAUAAUUUGUUACACUAAGUUCAUUAUUUGAAAUAAUAAAAUAGAAAACACCUUCGAAAUAUAGAAACAAAUAUUUUUGAUUGUAUAGUUUGUAUACAAUAUAAAAUAAAUUUAUUUCCUUAUAUUCUAAAUUAAGAAAAUACAUGCAUCCUUUUCUUUUAUUGAAAUUCAAAUUUUUUUUUUAUAAAUUAUAAUGAUGUUAACAUUAAAAUUAAAGAUACUAGAGUUGGUCCGCCCGUAGGGCGGGUUAGUAUCUGAAAGAAUUACAUAAAUUUAUUAUCAGUUCUAGUAAAUAUUUCAAAAUGUUUAGCCUACUUUAAUUUAAAUUGAUCUUAAAUUUAACAAAGUGUAUUUUGUUAUUUUUAUUAUAGUAUGUUUAUCUUAAUAUUAAAAGGAAUGAAUUACAAUUUCUUUCAUAUAUGUUUUUUUCUUUAAUUCAAUGAAACUAUUUUCCAAUAAGUGAAUAGUAUAUAUACAACUAGUGCUGUUCAAUUACUAAAAAUUACGAUUAUAUGCGUUGCUAAUAAUUUUUUUAUUGUUUACUUUUUAGCUGUAAAUAUAUAUGACCACUUCUGUUUCUACUUUUUGGUUCUAUAAGUUUGUUUAUGUGUAUUUCUCCUAUAACAACUUUUUAUCUUUUCAAUAUAUAUUUUAAUAAAUAUUUGAUAUGUUUUUAUUUAAAAAUAGAAGAAAUUUCUAUGGUAAACGUGUGUUGAUUUGCAUAAAUUCUGUAAAGCAUAGCAUUUUUAUCUAUAAUUUGUGUUCAUAUGUUUGGAAAUUUCUUUUUAAGUAAGUAUUUUCAAAUUAAUUUUUUUUUCAAAAAGAUAGUAUUCUGUUCUUAAAUCUGAGUGGUCGAGUGUUGGUCGAAUUGUGGCAUUCAGAAAUAAGAAAGUUCUUACCUAUAAGGGUGUAUUCAAUCUAAAAUUUGAGGUGAUUUGAUUUUUAAUGAGGUUUUAGAUGAUUUUAAAGAAUUGCAGAGAAUAAAAUGAUUUUUGUUAAACCAUUCUAGAAUAUCACCUAAAACCAUGAGAUUUGAGUUUUAAUUUUUUUAAAUAAGAAACUCCACCCAAACACUCUUAAUAUCACUUGAAAACUUUAAAACUUCACAACUUAAAAUAUUUUCAAUAACAGUAGAUUUCAGAGUACUUUAUAAAAUGUCAAGUUCAAUAACACUAGAUUUUAAAUGAGCUUUUAAAAUUCAUGUUUCAAUAACAGUGAAUUUGUCAUUUUGACACAAAUAAUUUAAAACUCUCAAUUGAAUACACUCCCUAAAUUCUUAUCUAUACUUGCUCGGCAUUUUCUUGCUUAUAAAUUUUAUAUGGGCCGGAAAAAAAAUACAAAGUUGGAGCCUAUAUUUGCAUUCUCCACCUUAGACCUAAUCUCCUAUAUUAUUCUUUUCUCAUCUAUCAAAAAGCCAUUUUUAAGUCAACGAUGAUGGAGUGAGUUGGUGACCUUUUCCACUGGUUCUCAAGACUCCCAUGGCUCGUAUGCAGCUUCUAGUCUUCAGAAUUCUGCUCCAGUUUCUUCAUAGAGUACCAAUUUCAGCUUCUCAAAGCUUCUUUUAAUUCUCAAUGAAAUCCGACCAACGAUCAACGACCAGCUUCCUCUGAUGGUUUCUUUCCCAAAAAAAUCCGUUCCUGUCACUGAAAGACCGUAACGAAAGGUGAUUCCUGCACUGGAGUUCUGCAGUUUCUCUGAGCAGUGGCUGAAGGCUGAUAUUAAGUUCUGUGAAAACGUCCAAACGAAUGAGCAUGUUCUAGUGGAAGUUGAAAUGCUCGACAAGCUUGAGAAAGAGUUCGGGAGUGUAAGGAUUGAAUACUGAAGAUUGCUCUUGAAGUCUGAAGUAUUUUUGUUUUUGUUUUGAUUUUGGCUUUGGUUUUUUUUAUUUUCGGCUUUGGUCUCAUUAGAGAUGUGUUCUGCUUUGACAGUUGCUUUUAAGUUUUAUUAUGAACAAGUUUGAUUUACAUUGAAGUUUAAUAAAGGUUCUUUGGAGUUUCUCAUUUCUUUGUACAUGUUUAUUAAUGGUUGUGUUAUUCAGGUU
Brassica napus (rape) is the source of this 2769-nucleotide long non-coding RNA. RefSeq lists it as uncharacterized. Lineage: Eukaryota; Viridiplantae; Streptophyta; Magnoliopsida; Brassicales; Brassicaceae. The record is from RefSeq and is a predicted model, not a curated record. The transcript is spliced from 3 exons.